GAGAGUGUUGCUCAGUGGUAGAGCACAUGCUUAACAUGCACGAGGUCCUGGGUUUAAUCCCCAGCCCCUUCA
This 72-nucleotide transfer RNA is filed under the name Camelus bactrianus (Bactrian camel). It matches the Rfam family "tRNA". From Rfam's summary of the family: Transfer RNA (tRNA) molecules are approximately 80 nucleotides in length. Their secondary structure includes four short double-helical elements and three loops (D, anti-codon, and T loops). RNAcentral also lists the same sequence under 1 other name. The record is from Rfam by way of RNAcentral. Lineage: Eukaryota; Metazoa; Chordata; Mammalia; Artiodactyla; Camelidae.